CCAGCAGCCGCGGUAAUACGGAGGUUGCGAGCGUUGUUCGGAAUGACUGGGCGUAAAGGGAGCGCAGGCGGUUCGGUUUGUCCGGCGUGAAAGCCCGGGGCUCAACCCCGGCGGGCCGUCGGAAACGGCCGAACUGGAGUACGGAAGAGGAGAGCGGAAUUCCGGGUGUAGCGGUGAAAUGCGUAGAUAUCCGGAGGAACACCGGUGGCGAAAGCGGCUCUCUGGUCCGAUACUGACGCUCAGGCUCGAAAGCGUGGGGAGCAAACGGGAUUAGAUACCCCGGUAGUCCACGCCGUAAACGUUGUGCGCUAGGUGUAGGCGGUAUCGACCCCGCCUGUGCCGCAGCUAACGCAUUAAGCGCACCGCCUGGGGAGUACGCCCGCAAGGGUGAAACUCAAAGGAAUUGACGGGGGCCCGCACA
RNAcentral lists this ribosomal RNA (421 nucleotides) under uncultured bacterium. RNAcentral's name for it is "bacterial SSU rRNA". It matches the Rfam family "Bacterial small subunit ribosomal RNA", at positions 508 to 927 of the family's 1533-position model. The record is from RNAcentral.